UAGUUGGUGGGGUAAAGGCUCACCAAGACGAUGAUGCAUAGCCGAGUUGAGAGACUGACCGGCCACAUUGGGACUGAGACACGGCCCAAACUCCUACGGGAGGCUGCAGUAGGGAAUCUUCCACAAUGGGCGCAAGCCUGAUGGAGCAACGCCGCGUGUGUGAUGAAGGCUUUCGGGUCGUAAAGCACUGUUGUAUGGGAAGAAUGGUAAGGGUAGGAAAUGAUCUUUACGUGACGGUACCAUACCAGAAAGGGACGGCUAAAUACGUGCCAGCAGCCGCGGUAAUACGUAUGUCCCGAGCGUUAUCCGGAUUUAUUGGGCGUAAAGCGAGCGCAGACGGUUUGAUAAGUCUGAAGUGAAAGCCCACAGCUCAACUGUGGAAGUGCUUUGGAAACUGUCAAACUUGAGUGCAGUAGAGGUAAGUGGAACUCCAUGUGUAGCGGUGGAAUGCGUAGAUAUAUGGAAGAACACCAGUGGCGAAGGCGGCUUACUGGACUGCAACUGACGUUGAGGCUCGAAAGUGUGGGUAGCAAACAGGAUUAGAUACCCUGGUAGUCCACACCGUAAACGAUGAACACUAGGUGUUAGGGGGUUUCCGCCCCUUAGUGCCGAAGCUAACGCAUUAAGUGUUCCGCCUGGGGAGUACGACCGCAAGGUUGAAACUCAAAGGAAUUGACGGGGACCCGCACAAGCGGUGGAGCAUGUGGUUUAAUUCGAAGCAACGCGAAGAACCUUACCAGGUCUUGACAUCCUUUGAAGGUACAAGAGAUUGUGCUGUUUUCUUCGGAAACAAAGUGACAGGUGGUGCAUGGCCGUCGUCAGCUCGUGUCGUGAGAUGUUGGGUUAAGUCCCGCAACGAGCGCAACCCUUAUGUUUAGUUGCCAGCAUUCAGUUGGGCACUCUAGACAGACUGCCGGUGACAAACCGGAGGAAGGCGGGGACGACGUCAGGUCAUCAUGCCCCUUAUGACCUGGGCUACACACGUGCUACAAUGGCGUAUACAACGAGCAGCGAACUCGCGAGGGUAAGCGAAUCUCUUAAAGUACGUCUCAGUUCGGAUUGUAGUCUGCAACUCGACUACAUGAAGUCGGAAUCGCUAGUAAUCGCGGAUCAGCAUGCCGCGGUGAAUACGUUCCCGGGUCUUGUACACACCGCCCGUCACACCAUGGGAGUUUGU
RNAcentral lists this ribosomal RNA (1177 nucleotides) under Fructobacillus pseudoficulneus. RNAcentral's name for it is "bacterial SSU rRNA". It matches the Rfam family "Bacterial small subunit ribosomal RNA", at positions 246 to 1415 of the family's 1533-position model. The record is from RNAcentral. Lineage: Bacteria; Bacillati; Bacillota; Bacilli; Lactobacillales; Lactobacillaceae.